RNAcentral lists this ribosomal RNA (429 nucleotides) under Actinomycetes bacterium. RNAcentral's name for it is "Actinobacteria bacterium partial 16S ribosomal RNA". It matches the Rfam family "Bacterial small subunit ribosomal RNA", at positions 355 to 776 of the family's 1533-position model. Lineage: Bacteria; Bacillati; Actinomycetota; Actinomycetes. The record is from RNAcentral.
UAGGGAAUCUUCCGCAAUGGGCGAAAGCCUGACGGAGCAACGCCGCGUGAGUGAUGAAGGUCUUCGGAUCGUAAAACUCUGUUAUUAGGGAAGAGCAAAUGUGUAAGUAACUAUGCACGUCUUGACGGUACCUAAUCAGAAAGCCACGGCUAACUACGUGCCAGCAGCCGCGGUAAUACGUAGGUGGCAAGCGUUAUCCGGAAUUAUUGGGCGUAAAGCGCGCGUAGGCGGUUUUUUAAGUCUGAUGUGAAAGCCCACGGCUCAACCGUGGAGGGUCAUUGGAAACUGGAAAACUUGAGUGCAGAAGAGGAAAGUGGAAUUCCAUGUGUAGCGGUGAAAUGCGCAGAGAUAUGGAGGAACACCAGUGGCGAAGGCGACUUUCUGGUCUGUAACUGACGCUGAUGUGCGAAAGCGGGGGGAUCAAACAGG